GACGAACGCUGGCGGCGUGCUUAACACAUGCAAGUCGAACGGAAAGGCCCUGCUUUUGUGGGGUGCUCGAGUGGCGAACGGGUGAGUAACACGUGAGUAACCUGCCCUUGACUUUGGGAUAACUUCAGGAAACUGGGGCUAAUACCGGAUAGGAGCUCCUGCUGCAUGGUGGGGGUUGGAAAGUUUCGGCGGUUGGGGAUGGACUCGCGGCUUAUCAGCUUGUUGGUGGGGUAGUGGCUUACCAAGGCUUUGACGGGUAGCCGGCCUGAGAGGGUGACCGGCCACAUUGGGACUGAGAUACGGCCCAGACUCCUACGGGAGGCAGCAGUGGGGAAUAUUGCAAAAUGGGCGGAAGCCUGAUGCAGCAACGCCGCGUGCGGGAUGACGGCCUUCGGGUUGCAAACCGCUUUCGCCUGUGACGAAGCGUGAGUGGCGGUAAUGGGUAAAGAAGCACCGGCUAACUACGUG
RNAcentral lists this ribosomal RNA (468 nucleotides) under uncultured bacterium. Its description in RNAcentral is "partial 16S ribosomal RNA". It matches the Rfam family "Bacterial small subunit ribosomal RNA", at positions 28 to 507 of the family's 1533-position model. The record is from RNAcentral.